Molecule: ribosomal RNA, 799 nt
Filed under: Cupressus chengiana
Lineage: Eukaryota; Viridiplantae; Streptophyta; Pinopsida; Cupressales; Cupressaceae
Description: eukaryotic LSU rRNA
Rfam family: 5.8S ribosomal RNA (bases 410-563)
Source: RNAcentral
CCCCCGUUGAGAUUUCAUGGCCCGGUCGCGUGCGCGGCGCUGUGCCAGGGAUCCGUCGUUUCGACGGCGGCAAGUCGGGACUGUCGCAACCCCCCGUUGCCUUGCCCAGGUGUGUUAACUCGUCGCUCGGAGCGUUCUGUGUCUAGGAUGGGUGCACUCGCAUGAUUUGCGGGGCAGGGGCCCCAUCCGAUGACACGGCUCUCCCAUGCGUCGACUCCCACCUUUGCGAGGUGAUGGGGCGGGGACACACCACAGCGUUCCUCGUCGCACCCAUUGGGUGCUCGGGGUUCGGGAUGUGUCAACACCCAACACACGGGUGCAUCGCGCACCUUAGAAAUCCAAAGAAUGAAGCGCGAUCCAGCGCCUUGCGCGCUUGGGUCGCCGAAAUACAAAAACAUAACAAAAUCACGACUCUCGGCAACGGAUAUCUCGGCUCUCGCCACGAUGAAGAAUGUAGCGAAAUGCGAUACUUAGUGUGAAUUGCAGAAUCCCGUGAAUCAUCAAGUCUUUGAACGCAAGUUGCGCCCGAGGCCUCGGCCAAGGGCACGUCUGCUUGGGCGUCGCACUACAAAAUUGCCCUCCCCAGCGAGGAGCGGAGAUGGCCGUCCGUGUCCCCAAGUGGCGCGGUCGGCUGAAAUGAGCACGAGGUCCGUCGAUCCGUCGCGACGAGCGGUGGCUCCCAAAAGGCCGGCGUUGGUUUGCGCUGAUCGAACGAUUCCUCGCGAGGAACUUUAUUCUGGGUCCAGCGGCCCGCCGCAGUGCGGGCAUGCUGUAUCUCUACCGCGUCCCCAAGUCAGGC